ACGGUAACAGGGGAGCUUGCUCCCGCUGACGAGUGGCGAACGGGUGAGUAAUGCAUCGGAACGUGCCGAAUAGUGGGGGAUAACGCACCGAAAGGUGUGCUAAUACCGCAUACGCCCUGAGGGGGAAAGUGGGGGACCGCAAGGCCUCACGCUAAUCGAGCGGCCGAUGUCGGAUUAGCUAGUUGGUGGGGUAAAGGCUCACCAAGGCGACGAUCCGUAGCGGGUCUGAGAGGAUGAUCCGCCACACUGGGACUGAGACACGGCCCAGACUCCUACGGGAGGCAGCAGUGGGGAAUUUUGGACAAUGGGGGAAACCCUGAUCCAGCCAUGCCGCGUGUCUGAAGAAGGCCUUCGGGUUGUAAAGGACUUUUGUCCGGGAGGAAACCCUGAUCGUUAAUAGCGGUCGGGACUGACAGUACCGGAAGAAUAAGCACCGGCUAACUACGUGCCAGCAGCCGCGGUAAUACGUAGGGUGCAAGCGUUAAUCGGAAUUACUGGGCGUAAAGCGUGCGCAGGCGGUGAGAUAAGUCAGCUGUGAAAGCCCCGGGCUCAACCUGGGAACUGCGGCCGAAACUGUCUCGCUAGAGUACGUCAGAGGGGGGUGGAAUUCCACGUGUAGCAGUGAAAUGCGUAGAUAUGUGGAGGA
RNAcentral lists this ribosomal RNA (646 nucleotides) under uncultured Microvirgula sp. RNAcentral describes it as "bacterial SSU rRNA". It matches the Rfam family "Bacterial small subunit ribosomal RNA", at positions 66 to 705 of the family's 1533-position model. Lineage: Bacteria; Pseudomonadati; Pseudomonadota; Betaproteobacteria; Neisseriales; Aquaspirillaceae. The record is from RNAcentral.